This 213-nucleotide long non-coding RNA is filed under the name Capsicum annuum. RNAcentral's name for it is "long non-coding RNA (CANN_LNC021297)". Lineage: Eukaryota; Viridiplantae; Streptophyta; Magnoliopsida; Solanales; Solanaceae. The record is from RNAcentral.
UUUAAGCAUGUGACGAGUAGUUGGAAAGUUGUCUAGGAUCUCUUGGGGUAUUAUAAUAUCUCCCCCUUGGGAUAGUUCAUCCCUGAAUGACAUUUUCUGGACGGAGAUACUAGGAAGAUUGAGAUUAUGCACUAAAUACUUAUGAGCUUAAUUAUGACUAAAUAGCUGUCUCUUAGACAUGAUGCAUGGGAUGAAUUGAAUUUAUGAAUGCAU